RNA transcript from Carlito syrichta (Philippine tarsier), 567 nucleotides. It is a transcript of the gene named 60S ribosomal protein L7 pseudogene, with no coding region annotated. Lineage: Eukaryota; Metazoa; Chordata; Mammalia; Primates; Tarsiidae. The record is from RefSeq and is a predicted model, not a curated record. The transcript has a single exon.
CCUGCAGAACCCAAAUUGGCGUUUGUCAUCAGGAUCAGAGGUAUCAAUGGUGUGAGCCCAAAGGUCCGGAAGGUGUUGCAGCUUCUUCGCCUUCGUCAGAUCUUCAACGGAACCUUUGUUAAGCUCAACAAGGCUUCGAUUAACAUGCUGAGGAUUGUAGAACCAUACAUUGCAUGGGGGUACCCAAACCUGAAGUCAGUAAAUGAACUAAUCUACAAGCGUGGUUAUGGCAAAAUUAAUAAGAAGCGAAUUGCCUUGACAGAUAAUUCUUUGAUUGCUCGAUCUCUUGGUAAAUAUGGCAUCAUUUGCAUGGAGGAUCUGAUUCAUGAGAUUUAUACUGUUGGAAAACGUUUCAAAGAAGCCAAUAACUUCCUCUGGCCUUUUAAAUUAUCCUCUCCACGAGGUGGAAUGAAGAAAAAGUCCACCCAUUUUGUAGAAGGUGGGGAUGCUGGCAACAGGGAAGACCAGAUCAACAGGCUUAUCAGAAGGAUGAACUAAGGUGUCUGCCUUGAUUAUUUUUGUUAACUGGUGAGUUAAUAAUAAACGAUGCCUGCUUUCAGAUGGAAA